RNAcentral lists this non-coding RNA (147 nucleotides) under Homo sapiens (human). The record is from Rfam by way of RNAcentral. Lineage: Eukaryota; Metazoa; Chordata; Mammalia; Primates; Hominidae.
GCCAGGCGUGGUGGUGUGCGCCUGUAAUCCCAGCUACUCGGAGGCUGAGGUAGGAGAAUCACUUGAACCCAGGAGACAGAGGUUGCUGUGAACCGAGAUCGUGCCACUGAACUCCAGCCUGGGCAACAGAGCGAGACUCUGUCUCAA